CAUAAAAUAAAAAGUUUUUGUUCUAAAUAAAAUUGAACUUACAGUUCCAGUGUAAAGUACUAUAUGUACAAAUUUGCCUGUUAAUUGCAAAUGAAGACCAAACUAUAGCCUUAUUCCUCAAUUCCAAAUUGAAAUACAUGCUUAACAAGAAGAUACCAAGCACAAGUGAGUGAUGCCAAUAGAAACCUGACACGUGGUCAGAGAUCAACACAAAACAAUCCUGCUAGCAGAAAAAAGGAUGACAAAUAGUCAUCCCAACAUGUACAAAUGGCACAUGGUAACAAACAAUGAUACAAAUGG
Saccostrea cuccullata (small rock oyster) is the source of this 300-nucleotide long non-coding RNA. RefSeq lists it as uncharacterized. The record is from RefSeq and is a predicted model, not a curated record. NCBI's taxonomy places the organism in Eukaryota, Metazoa, Mollusca, Bivalvia, Ostreida, Ostreidae. The transcript is spliced from 2 exons.